Molecule: ribosomal RNA, 492 nt
Filed under: uncultured bacterium
Lineage: Bacteria
Description: partial 16S ribosomal RNA
Rfam family: Bacterial small subunit ribosomal RNA
Source: RNAcentral
AAUGAACGUUGGCGGCGUGGAUUAGGCAUGCAAGUCGAGCGAGAACCCGCAAGGGGGACAGCGGCAAACGGGGUAGGAAUGAUUGGUGACGUACCCUCGGGACGGGGAUAGCCACGGAAAACUGUGGGUAAUACCCGAUAAUCUCCCAGGUUUGAAGACCUGGGUGCAAAGGUGUGAUUCCACCGGAGGGGAGGCCAAUCUGGUAUUAGCUAGUUGGUAGGGUAACGGCCUACCAAGGCUACGAUGCCUAGGGGGUGUGAGAGCAUGGCCCCAACCACUGGGACUGAGAUACUGCCCAGACACCUACGGGUGGCUGCAGUCGAGAAUCUUCGGCAAUGGGCGAAAGCCUAACCGAGCGACGCCGCGUGCGGGAUGAAGGCCUUCGGGUUGUAAACCGCUGUCAGAGGGGAUGAAGUUAUAGGAGGUUCUCCUUCUAUAUUGACAGAGCCUCAGAGGAAGCACGGGCUGAGUAUGUGCCAGCAGCCGCGGUAA